This 413-nucleotide long non-coding RNA is filed under the name Cucumis sativus (cucumber). RNAcentral describes it as "long non-coding RNA (CSAT_LNC000753)". Lineage: Eukaryota; Viridiplantae; Streptophyta; Magnoliopsida; Cucurbitales; Cucurbitaceae. The record is from RNAcentral.
UCCUCUGUUUCUGCCCCCCUGAGACUGCUAUCAUCCAUACUGCUUUGCACCCUUGAGGAUGAAAGCAUGGGUAAGCUUGAUUGUGAUGCAUGAUGCAGGGGUUGAUACUGUUCGAGUAAACCGGAUGCCAAGUAAGAUUCCAAUUUCUUUUUCACAGAACUAUUCCAGUGGUUCUUUAUAGCAUUGUCUGUCCUGUUGACAAUCAAAUAUACAUCACUCUAUGGGUAUCUUAGCAGUGCUGAAGAUAAAUUCAAAAUAAUGAAGCUCUGUAAUGCACUAAAGUAAGUCACUACCUCAAUGAACACGAAGAAUCACACCGAGAAUUACAAGCAAUAUGUGAGUAUUAUCCCAUAACAAAGAAGUGCUUGGGGAAAGAAAUAUACUGAAAAUUUGAGCAUCUGCUUACCUGCCAG